RNAcentral lists this long non-coding RNA (1473 nucleotides) under Capra hircus (goat). RNAcentral's name for it is "lncRNA (ENSCHIG00010018796.1)". Lineage: Eukaryota; Metazoa; Chordata; Mammalia; Artiodactyla; Bovidae. The record is from RNAcentral.
GCUCUCGGGGUGAUCCCGCCUCAGGCUCCUGCUCUCGGGGUGAUCCCGCCUCAGGCCCCCGCUCCCCGGGUGGUCCCGCCUCAGGCCCCCGCUCCGCGGGUGAUUCCACCUCAGGUCCUCCCUUCCCGGGUGAUUCCGCCUCAGGCUCCUGCUCUCGGGGUGAUUCUGCCUCAGGCCCCCGCGCCCCGGGUGGUCCCGCCUCAGGCCCCCGCGCCCCGGGUGAUCCCGCCUCAGGCCCCCGCNNNNNNNNNNNNNNNNNNNNNGGUGCCCAGCAAGCAGCUCUGCCCGAUCAGGCCCGAGACCCCGGCCUCUCUCCUGAGCUCUCCCCAGGCCGCCAUUGGCCCUGCUCAGCUCCUGUCUAUAGCCUGACUCUGCAGGAAUGGUGGCAAGACCAUCGUGCUCAGCAACGGUCAGCGGGAGAUCCACACAGCCCAGUUCAAGAGGAGGGAGUACCCCGAUGGCUCCACCAAGACCGUGUACCAUGACGGCCACCAGGAGACCAAGGACGCCUCCGGGAGGGUCAAGGUUAGGGAUCAGGCUGGAAACAUCAUCCUGGACAGGAAGCAGCUUCUCCUUCAAAACUAGCCUUACCCGUGACCUUCCAAUAUCACCUUGACCUUCCAACAUCACCUUGACCUUCCAACCUUGCCUGUGAACUUCCAACAUUGCUUGUGACCUUCCAAUUUAUGUGUAACCUUCCAAGUACAUUAUUUACUAAAAAAAAGAAACAACUAAUAUUUGUGGCCCUAAAUGGUGAAAAAUCAUGUAAAACUUGAGGACUACCCAAGUCAUCCAGAAAUUAUAAAGGAAGAGACAGCCUGAUCCCGGGCUCCUGGUUCGGAAAUGUGGCUGCAUCAACACUAGUCCAGCCAGAGAACAGGAAGCUCGCAGACAAUGACUCCAGGGCCCCGGCCAGACCCCUUCCUCUCUGCCCACCACAAGAACCAGCUCUACAUGUGACGGGCAGCCUUCCCUGGGCCCUGGGCGCCUCUGCCUCUGCCUGCAGCUGGCCCCUGGUCCUCUCCUCCUGAAUUACACCAGCUUAGCCUGACCAUCCCGAACAUUUUCCUCAGGGCACCAGUUCACGCCACUGCAGGAGCGCCCACGGGGAGCCUGACCCAGGGUCUGAGUGACCUGGCCUCAUGCCCGCCGCUGCGUGGGUGGUAAGCCACCUCCUGAAACUCUGCAUUUUAAAAUCUCACAGGCAAGGCAAUGAGAGUUGCCCCUUUUAUUGUUUUGUAGGCAGCCUAGAAAAUAAGACAGAAACUGGCACCUAACUGACUUUCACACUGAAAUAGAGAGCCCCAAAAUACAAGAAAGGAAUAAUUUCCCGAAAAUCUUCUGAUGAGAUGCUUGUAUGUGCCCAUGUCUUCAUGCGACAGAAGUGAAGUAUCAUGUUAGUGCCUGGGAUCAUUUCAGUCCUAAAGUCUAUGGUGCACACCCCACAGUAGCCUCAGUGGUUGGGUGAGGCUU